This is a long non-coding RNA of Astyanax mexicanus (Mexican tetra), 237 nucleotides long. RefSeq lists it as uncharacterized. The transcript is spliced from 3 exons. Lineage: Eukaryota; Metazoa; Chordata; Actinopteri; Characiformes; Acestrorhamphidae. The record is from RefSeq and is a predicted model, not a curated record.
AAAAACAGAGCAGCUCUACAUCUCACUCCUUUAUAACUGCACUCCUGCUCCAUUCAAUCAAACACUUCCAGCUGUGGAAAGACUGAGCAUAGGAUCAUCCUGAACUCCUGCACGAAACGACCAGUUUUCACUGGAAGGAGCACUACAGCUCAGAAGAACACAAAAUCAGUUAUGCUUUUUCUACUGAUGAUCAUUUACCUUCAUGGACGUUCUAGUGCAAGUAAUUCAUCUGCACCA